Molecule: ribosomal RNA, 460 nt
Filed under: uncultured bacterium
Lineage: Bacteria
Description: partial 16S ribosomal RNA
Rfam family: Bacterial small subunit ribosomal RNA
Source: RNAcentral
CCUACGGGAGGCAGCAGUGAGGAAUAUUGGUCAAUGGACGAGAGUCUGAACCAGCCAAGUAGCGUGAAGGAUGACUGCCCUAUGGGUUGUAAACUUCUUUUAUAUGGGAAUAAAAUGUUCCACGUGUGGGAUUUUGUAUGGACCAUAUGAAUAAGGAUCGGCUAACUUCGUGCCAGCAGCAGCGGUAAUACGGAGGAUCCGAGCGUUAUCCGGAUUUAUUGGGUUUAAGGGGAGCGUAGGUGGAUUGUUAAGUCAGUUGUGAAAGUUUGCGGCUCAACCGUAAAAUUGCAGUUGAAACUGGCAGUCUUGAGUACAGUAGAGGUGGGCGGAAUUCGUGGUGUAGCGGUGAAAUGCUUAGAUAUCACGAAGAACUCCGAUUGCGAAGGCAGUUCACUGGACUGCAACUGACACUGAGGCUCGAAAGUGUGGGUAUCAAACAGGAUUAGAUACCCGAGUAGUC